GGUGUCAUUACUCAGUGGUACAAGAGUGCGUGCAUGCGUGUUGGGGGGGGAAUAAUUGUGCCAUUAAUGAUUGCUAUUUUGAUUACAGGAUGCAAUUGUCACUGCGGUUGGAAGCCAAUCAACGCGUUGUGAGUGGGAACCUGCUGGUACUUUCCAAUGGUCCUUGAUUAAAAAGGAAGCUCUUGGCUAUCUUCAAGCAGCAGGAGAGGAAACAGCGCGGCGAAGGAUUUGGAGGACUGGGAGAAGGCAGCAAAAUGCUUCUGCUCCGGCGAUCAGGGACGACGUGGUGGCCACAGAUGUCAGUUGAGAGUUGUUUUAUAAAAUGAAUCUCUGUAAGCUGCUGCUCUACGGGGAUGGAACAAGAACAGAAGAGCCGUGAAUUCAAGGCCAUCUUGGGAUGAUUUUUCUAGGACAUGGAGUCUCUGCAGUGCCAAGGGACCUCGAUUAGCCCGAACAGCUAAAGCAUUCCAUCUAACGAGUCUCUGCUCUAAUGCAGGCAUAAGAAUUCAGGACAUUUAUCUGUAGGAAUUCAUCAAGCUGAACCUGGAACUAUUGCUUCAGCAGUAGCUACACAAAACUGAGAAAAGAAGGAAGCUGCUAUACGCCAUCUACUUAUGGAAGAAAACAUCCUUUGAUUCUACAUCUUCUGAAGGAGUGAUAAACUUUAAAAUCAUGAAGCUACAUUCAGAAGUUCUUACGCCAAGACUGCAUGUGUGCUAGUACCACUGAAAUCAGUAGGAGUCAUUUCAGUGUUUCAAAAUCAGCUUUUAUUCAAAAUCAGGAUUUUUUUCCCCUCUUCCUUUAAGGAAAAAAAAAAAAUUUUUUGUUUUCCAACCCAUGUGUUAACUUGUCAGAUCAGUUGU
Molecule: long non-coding RNA, 863 nt
Filed under: Phasianus colchicus (ring-necked pheasant)
Lineage: Eukaryota; Metazoa; Chordata; Aves; Galliformes; Phasianidae
Description: lncRNA (ENSPCLG00000011195.1)
Source: RNAcentral